This is a long non-coding RNA of Drosophila ananassae, 1338 nucleotides long. RefSeq lists it as uncharacterized. The record is from RefSeq and is a predicted model, not a curated record. Lineage: Eukaryota; Metazoa; Arthropoda; Insecta; Diptera; Drosophilidae. The transcript has 2 exons.
UACAUUAAGUAUAUAUUUUUAAGAUUACCUUUCAAAAUACCUAAAUAUACCAAACAUCUGACUCUGGUCACUUUAAAUCGAUCGAGAGAGCAACGCGUCAGCUUAACAGAAACCUUUAAAAAAAAAUUUAAGAAUGCCAAAACACAGAUUCGUGGGAUUCGUGGCUCAAAAGAUAAGAGUUCAAGGCUUGGGCUUGUAGAGACGACACCGACGAAGGGCGAGUUUUGUGCAGUUACUGCAAAUGCACAAUUACCGCGAAACUUUCCGAUUUGCGCGCCCUUGCCUUGAAAAAAAAAACACAAAAGUGCUUCAGGCGAAUUUUAACAAUCCAACAAAAUAGAUUUUGUGGCUUUGCCAGUCAAAACGAUGGAACAGGAAGCGGGGAAUUUUUACUUAUGAUUUUACCAAGCAGCAAAUAUAGACGAAUUAAUUGAUAUUUUAAUAAAUGACAAACAAAAUAAAAUUUACUGUUAACUAAACCCAAAAAAUAUAUGUUUUGAAAAAACUGACUUUUUUAUGGCUUUUUUCAAAUUUUGGGUUUGUUUUAUGGUUUUUCACGUCAAAAACAGCUUUUUUUUCAAGAAAAAGUUGGCAACACUGCAGAGGGUAUUAUAAUUUUGGUCGAAAGUGUGCAACGCAGUGAAAGAGAUAUCUCCGACCGUAAAAGGAAUAUAUUCUUGAUCUGGAUGACCUCCUGAGUCUCCUGAGACUAUAUAAUAUAGCUGUCAUAAAUGGAUCGGAAUUGGCAUAAUUUUGGUGUUUUUUAAGUUAGAAUGAUGGGACUUUCUACGGAUUUCAUUUUGGGCAAUCUAAUUCGUUUUGCUUCCGAGUGGUGCCGAUGGCUAUUUUGGAGAAAAAAAAUCGAUUGCUAAAAAUUGUGAAUCGAUAUUUAUUAUGCGCUACUUUUACACAGUAACAUAUCGGGAAAAAACAAUAGUGGAAAACUUAAAUUUUUCGGCACUUUGGGAGUAAUUCGACCGAGGAUGGCCCUGCAAGUUUUUCAGCGCUCGCGCAUAUGAUGUGGCAGCCCCACUUCUGAGAUAGGUUGCACUCGGCUAAUCACCGGAUCGACCGAAAAAAUAGCGAUUACAGAAACAAACACAAGAUCAGAAAACAAUCACCCCCCAACUCGACGACGUCCCUCCGCUUUUCGCAACGGACACGAAUUGGACAAUGGAAUGUGAGGACCCAAAUGGAGUCUUACAGAAAAAAACGAGACAGCAUAGCUAGGAUGGCCUUGGAGUGGAACCCGCAAGGCAGCAGAAGAGUGGGACGCCCCAAGCUAACCUGGCGCCGAUCAACAUUACGCGAACUCUCUGACAAUAACAUCACCUGGGA